GACGAACGCUGCCGGCGUGCUUAACACAUGCAAGUCGAACGCUGAAGGCCUGGCUUUUGUUGGGUUGGAUGAGUGCGAACGGGUGAGUAACACGUGAGUAACCUGCCCUCUUCUUUGGGAUAACGCCCGGAAACGGGUGCUAAUACUGGAUAUUCACUGAUCUUCGCAUGGGGGUUGGUGGAAAGGUUUGUUCUGGUGGGGGAUGGGCUCGCGGCCUAUCAGCUUGUUGGUGGGGUGAUGGCCUACCAAGGCUUUGACAGGUAGCCGGCCUGAGAGGGUGACCGGUCACAUUGGGACUGAGAUACGGCCCAGACUCCUACGGGAGGCAGCAGUGGGGAAUAUUGCACAAUGGGCGAAAGCCUGAUGCAGCGACGCCGCGUGAGGGAUGGAGGCCUUCGGGUUGUAAACCUCUUUCGCUCAUGGUCAAGCCGCAACUGUGGGUUGUGGUAGGGUAGUGGGUAAAGAAGCGCGG
This 472-nucleotide ribosomal RNA is filed under the name Actinomyces sp. oral taxon 172. RNAcentral describes it as "bacterial SSU rRNA". It matches the Rfam family "Bacterial small subunit ribosomal RNA", at positions 28 to 495 of the family's 1533-position model. Lineage: Bacteria; Bacillati; Actinomycetota; Actinomycetes; Actinomycetales; Actinomycetaceae. The record is from RNAcentral.